This 67-nucleotide transfer RNA is filed under the name Nereis zonata. Its description in RNAcentral is "tRNA-Met". The record is from RNAcentral. Lineage: Eukaryota; Metazoa; Annelida; Polychaeta; Phyllodocida; Nereididae.
GAUAAAAUAAGCUAACUCUUAAGCUAUUGGGCUCAUACCCCGAAAAUGGACAAUGUUCCUUUUAUCA